GGCCUCAUAGCUCAGGGGACAGAGCACCGCUCUCCUAAAGCGGGUGUCGCAGGUUCGAAUCCUGCUGGGGCCG
RNAcentral lists this transfer RNA (73 nucleotides) under Thermobifida alba. Its description in RNAcentral is "tRNA-Arg". It matches the Rfam family "tRNA". From Rfam's summary of the family: Transfer RNA (tRNA) molecules are approximately 80 nucleotides in length. Their secondary structure includes four short double-helical elements and three loops (D, anti-codon, and T loops). Further hydrogen bonds mediate the characteristic L-shaped molecular structure. tRNAs have two regions of fundamental functional importance: the anti-codon, which is responsible for specific mRNA codon recognition, and the 3' end, to which the tRNAs corresponding amino acid is attached (by aminoacyl-tRNA synthetases). tRNAs cope with the degeneracy of the genetic code in two manners: having more than one tRNA (with a specific anti-codon) for a particular amino acid; and 'wobble' base-pairing, i.e. permitting non-standard base-pairing at the 3rd anti-codon position. The record is from RNAcentral. Lineage: Bacteria; Bacillati; Actinomycetota; Actinomycetes; Streptosporangiales; Nocardiopsidaceae.